CAGCAGUCGCCGCGGUAAUACGAAGGGGGCUAGCGUUGCUCGGAAUUACUGGGCGUAAAGGGAGCGUAGGCGGAUCGUUAAGUUGGGGGUGAAAGCCCGGGGCUCAACCCCGGAACUGCCUUUGAUACUGGAAGUCUUGAGUAUGGUAGAGGUGAGUGGAAUUCCGAGUGUAGAGGUGAAAUUCGUAGAUAUUCGGAGGAACACCAGUGGCGAAGGCGGCUCACUGGACCAUUACUGACGCUGAGGUGCGAAAGCGUGGGGAGCAAACAGGAUUAGAUACCCCAGUAGUCCCUGUCUCUUAUAC
RNAcentral lists this ribosomal RNA (304 nucleotides) under uncultured bacterium. Its description in RNAcentral is "partial 16S ribosomal RNA". It matches the Rfam family "Bacterial small subunit ribosomal RNA", at positions 509 to 807 of the family's 1533-position model. The record is from RNAcentral.